UGGGGAAUAUUGGACAAUGGGCGAAAGCCUGAUCCAGCCAUGCCGCGUGUGUGAAGAAGGUCUUCGGAUUGUAAAGCACUUUAAGUUGGGAGGAAGGGCAGUAAGCGAAUACCUUGCUGUUUUGACGUUACCGACAGAAUAAGCACCGGCUAACUCUGUGCCAGCAGCCGCGGUAAUACAGAGGGUGCAAGCGUUAAUCGGAAUUACUGGGCGUAAAGCGCGCGUAGGUGGUUCGUUAAGUUGAAUGUGAAAGCCCCGGGCUCAACCUGGGAACUGCAUCCAAAACUGGCGGGCUAGAGUAGGGCAGAGGGUGGUGGAAUUUCCUGUGUAGCGGUGAAAUGCGUAGAUAUAGGAAGGAACACAAGUGGCGAAGGCGACCACCUGGGCUCAUACUGACACUGAGGUGCGAAAGCGUGGGGAGCAAACAGG
This 429-nucleotide ribosomal RNA is filed under the name Pseudomonadota bacterium. Its description in RNAcentral is "Proteobacteria bacterium partial 16S ribosomal RNA". It matches the Rfam family "Bacterial small subunit ribosomal RNA", at positions 355 to 776 of the family's 1533-position model. Lineage: Bacteria; Pseudomonadati; Pseudomonadota. The record is from RNAcentral.